This 773-nucleotide long non-coding RNA is filed under the name Mus musculus (house mouse). RNAcentral describes it as "predicted gene, 32443". The record is from RNAcentral. Lineage: Eukaryota; Metazoa; Chordata; Mammalia; Rodentia; Muridae.
AGUAGGAGAACCUGAGUUGGAAUCUCCAGCACCCAUGUAUAAACAGGCAUGACAGAGAGAGAGAGAGAGAGAGAGAGAGAGAGAGAGAGAGAGAGAGAGAGAGAGAGAGAGAGAGAGAGAGAGAUCCUGAGCUCACACAGCCAGUCUAGCCAAACAGCAAGUUUCAGAUCUGAUGACUCAGUCUCAAGGCAACAACUUAGAGGGUGAUAAAGGAAGACUCCAGACUCCAAAUGUCCUGCACACGUAUGCAUGUAUAUGCAUAGUUACAUGCCACACACACACACACACACACACACACACACGAACAUAUCAAUCAUUGUAAGUAAGGUUUGGGGCUAGAGACAGCUCAGCAAUAGAGUUAUUUCCCUGGUAUGCUCAGGCCCUGACUUUGUGCCCAGCACGUCACAAUCUUAGUUCAUUGCUGAGAUUACAGCAAGGGCCAUUGGAAGAAGAAUGUGGAUGCAAACUCCAGUCCUGCUUCCUAUCAGCUGUUAGAAGGUGCCCAGAUUUCCCUGGAGGCUAAAGCAGGGACAAAGUGGAAAACAAACUAGCUUGCCCGGCCUAGAUUUCCAGCGUGCUGACCACAGAGUAGAGCAAACAUGAAGUUCACGAUGUGGAGGAAAAUUCCAACAGAACAGAGUCCAGGACUUCCUGUGGCCUUAAAGCUAGAAUUGUUCACUCUGCCCAGAGCAACGGGACUCGAGCCAUAGAACUUGCAGCUGUUACUAGAGUUGUGUGGGCAGCGUGCACAACAUCUACAUGUCUCCCACUGC